This 74-nucleotide transfer RNA is filed under the name Acidobacteriota bacterium. RNAcentral describes it as "Acidobacteria bacterium tRNA-Cys". It matches the Rfam family "tRNA". Rfam says of the family: Transfer RNA (tRNA) molecules are approximately 80 nucleotides in length. Their secondary structure includes four short double-helical elements and three loops (D, anti-codon, and T loops). RNAcentral also lists the same sequence under 1 other name. The record is from RNAcentral. Lineage: Bacteria; Pseudomonadati; Acidobacteriota.
GCCGCGGUAGCCAAGUGGCAAGGCAAGGGUCUGCAAAACCUCAACGGCGGUUCGAAUCCGUCCCCGCGGCUCCA